GUCUACGGCCCUGCCACCCUGAACGCGCCCGAUCCCGUCUGAUCUCGACGGCCCGAUCCCGUCUGAUCUCGGAAGCUUAGCAGGGUCGGGCCUGGUUAGUACUUGGAUGGGAGACCACCCAGGACGACCAGGCGCUGUAGGCG
Molecule: ribosomal RNA, 143 nt
Filed under: Pteropus alecto (black flying fox)
Lineage: Eukaryota; Metazoa; Chordata; Mammalia; Chiroptera; Pteropodidae
Source: RNAcentral